Molecule: ribosomal RNA, 425 nt
Filed under: uncultured bacterium
Lineage: Bacteria
Description: bacterial SSU rRNA
Rfam family: Bacterial small subunit ribosomal RNA
Source: RNAcentral
AGGGAAUCUUCCGCAAUGGACUCAAGUCUGACGGAGCAACGCCGCGUGAGCGAAGAAGGCCUUCGGGUCGUAAAGCUCUGUUGUCAGGGAAGAACAAGUACCGGAGUAACUGCCGGUACCUUGACGGUACCUGACCAGAAAGCCCCGGCUAACUACGUGCCAGCAGCCGCGGUAAUACGUAGGGGGCGAGCGUUGUCCGGAAUCAUUGGGCGUAAAGCGCGCGCAGGCGGUCCCUUAAGUCUGAUGUGAAAUCUUGCGGCUCAACCGCAAGGGGUCAUUGGAAACUGGGGGACUUGAGUGCAGGAGAGGGAAGCGGAAUUCCAUGUGUAGCGGUGAAAUGCGUAGAGAUAUGGAGGAACACCAGUGGCGAAGGCGGCUUCCUGGCCUGUAACUGACGCUCAGGCGCGAAAGCGUGGGGAGCAAAC